RNAcentral lists this ribosomal RNA (201 nucleotides) under uncultured bacterium. Its description in RNAcentral is "partial 16S ribosomal RNA". It matches the Rfam family "Bacterial small subunit ribosomal RNA", at positions 328 to 539 of the family's 1533-position model. The record is from RNAcentral.
ACGCUCGACACCUACGGGAGACAGCAGUGGGGAAUAUUGGGCAAUGGGCGAAAGCCUGACCCAGCAACGCCGCGUGAGGGAAGAAGGUUUUCGGAUUGUAAACCUCUGUCCUCAGGGACGAAGGACGUGACGGUACCUGAGGAGGAAGCCCCGGCUAACUACGUGCCAGCAGCCGUGGUAAUCUGAGCGGGCUGGCAAGGC